GACGAACGCUGGCGGCGUGCUUAACACAUGCAAGUCGAACGGUAACAGGCCGCAAGGUGCUGACGAGUUGCGAACGGGCGAGUAAUGCAUCGGAACGUGCCCAGUCGUGGGGGAUAACGCAGCGAAAGCUGUGCUAAUACCGCAUACGAUCUAUGGAUGAAAGCGGGGGACCGUAAGGCCUCGCGCGAUUGGAGCGGCCGAUGUCAGAUUAGGUAGUUGGUGGGGUAAAGGCUCACCAAGCCAACGAUCUGUAGCUGGUCUGAGAGGACGACCAGCCACACUGGGACUGAGACACGGCCCAGACUCCUACGGGAGGCAGCAGUGGGGAAUUUUGGACAAUGGGCGCAAGCCUGAUCCAGCAAUGCCGCGUGCAGGAAGAAGGCCUUCGGGUUGUAAACUGCUUUUGUACGGAACGAAAAGGUUUGGGUUAAUACCCUGGGCCGAUGACGGUACCGUAAGAAUUAGCACCGGCUAACUACGUGCCAGCAGCCGCAGUAA
RNAcentral lists this ribosomal RNA (498 nucleotides) under uncultured bacterium. Its description in RNAcentral is "partial 16S ribosomal RNA". It matches the Rfam family "Bacterial small subunit ribosomal RNA", at positions 28 to 523 of the family's 1533-position model. The record is from RNAcentral.